RNAcentral lists this ribosomal RNA (1068 nucleotides) under Triticum aestivum (bread wheat). RNAcentral's name for it is "partial small subunit ribosomal RNA". The record is from RNAcentral. Lineage: Eukaryota; Viridiplantae; Streptophyta; Magnoliopsida; Poales; Poaceae.
AUGCCAACUAAGAGGAAGGCAGACAUUGUUGAUAUCAGUCCAACAAGUUUUGGUGUCAGGCAAAUCGAAUUAGCUAAGAAUGCAGAUCAUCUAUACAACAAUCUGAUCGGACCAAUUGCGAAACGUCAACGCCAAUCUAUAGUAGGGGUAGAAGAGGUUGUUGAUGUGCCAGACGACACUGAUAAUCAUAUCAUUAUCGAUGAACUUGCACCGGACACCAUUGUCAAUCAAGGUGGACAUGAUGAUUUGAUCAUUUUGCGACCAAAAAUUCUCCUGGAACUCCCAUUCAAGGAAAACGAAAGGUUCCUUGUGUCAAACAAAGAGUGCAUGCAUUACAACUCAAUAAUCGAACUUGCCUAUACAAAAAGAAUUCAGAGCAAGUAUGCGUUGACGUACUCCAUGGUUCAUUGUAAUUAUGUAUCACUUGGACAAAGCCUUAUGCCAACCGGGCACGUCGACAACUUCUUGAUCCCUUACUUUUGUCGAAAGUUCUUCGAGGACUGUCAUCCCUCAAUCUCUGGAAGGCACCAUUUCUUUCCGAAUAUUGGUGAGAACAUACUGAACUACCAAGACGAUAAACUACGAUCAAUUGCCACUUCGUUUUUGGGGGCAGCAUCAGCAAGUAGGGGUAAACGUCUAGAUUUGUCAAAUACGCUAUUCUUCCCCACAUGCCUCGACAACCAUUGGAUAGUGUUUGCUGUCGAUUUCAAGUGGCAACUUUUUGCUUUCUUGGAUUCUUUUUAUGACAAGGUCUCAUAUCUUCACAAGACUAUCAGAGAGAAAUUUAUCAAGAACUUCAUCAAGUUGUGGGAAAUCAUUUUCCAAACAGACCAGCAUAAUUUCAAGAUUUUCAUAAGGAUGUACCCUCACGUGCCAAAGCAGACUAAUGAAAAGGAUUGUGGAGUGUUUGCAACAAAGAUAAUGGAGAUAUGGGCACCACCCUUGGAUCUGCGCAAGAUUUUCUCACAUGACGACAUCCACCACAUAAGAAUUCAGUACAUGAACCAACUUUUCUUUUGGAAGAAAAACACUGCAGACAAGAGCCUUGUCACUGGUUUCAACUUAUAG